AGAUUGAACGCUGGCGGCGUGCCUAACACAUGCAAGUCGAGCGGUAACAGGUGUAGCAAUACAUGCUGACGAGCGGCGAACGGGUGAGUAAUGCUUUGGAAUCUUCCCAGUAGUGGGGAAUAACCAGUCGAAAGAUUGGCUAAUACCGCAUACGUCUGUAAAGGGAAAGCGGGGGCUCGUAAGACCUCGCGCUAUUGGAUGAGCCAAAGUCGGAUUAGCUAGUUGGUGGGGUAAUGGCCUACCAAGGCGACAAUCCGUAGCUGGUCUGAGAGGACGACCAGCCACACCGGAACUGAGACACGGUCCGGACUCCUACGGGAGGCAGCAGUGGGGAAUAUUGGACAAUGGGGGAAACCCUGAUCCAGCGACGCCGCGUGUGUGAGAAGGCCUGCGGGUUGUAAAGCACUUUUAGUGGGGACAAAAGCUACGGAUUAAUACUCUGUGGUCUUGAUUUAACCCAAAGAAAAGCACCGGCUAACUCUGUGCCAGCAGCCGC
This 496-nucleotide ribosomal RNA is filed under the name uncultured bacterium. Its description in RNAcentral is "SSU rRNA". It matches the Rfam family "Bacterial small subunit ribosomal RNA", at positions 26 to 518 of the family's 1533-position model. The record is from RNAcentral.